Molecule: non-coding RNA, 29 nt
Filed under: Mus musculus (house mouse)
Lineage: Eukaryota; Metazoa; Chordata; Mammalia; Rodentia; Muridae
Source: RNAcentral
UGGGUUAACAUUGUCAGGGACCUCUGUGA